RNAcentral lists this ribosomal RNA (464 nucleotides) under uncultured bacterium. RNAcentral's name for it is "bacterial SSU rRNA". It matches the Rfam family "Bacterial small subunit ribosomal RNA", at positions 917 to 1382 of the family's 1533-position model. The record is from RNAcentral.
GGGCCCGCACAAGCGGCGGAGCAUGCGGAUUAAUUCGAUGCAACGCGAAGAACCUUACCAAGGCUUGACAUAUACCGGAAAAGUUCAGAAAUGUUCUCCCCGCAAGGUCGGUAUACAGGUGGUGCAUGGUUGUCGUCAGCUCGUGUCGUGAGAUGUUGGGUUAAGUCCCGCAACGAGCGCAACCCUCGUUCUAUGUUGCCAGCACGUAAUGGUGGGAACUCAUAGGAGACUGCCGGGGUCAACUCGGAGGAAGGUGGGGAUGACGUCAAAUCAUCAUGCCCCUUAUGUCUUGGGCUUCACGCAUGCUACAAUGGCCGAUACAAAGGGCUGCAAUACCGCGAGGUGGAGCGAAUCCCAAAAAGUCGGUCUCAGUUCGGAUUGAGGUCUGCAACUCGACCUCAUGAAGUCGGAGUCGCUAGUAAUCGCAGAUCAGCAACGCUGCGGUGAAUACGUUCCCGGGCCUU